AAUCGGGGCAUUCUAGAUAGGGAAGAAGGUAGAUGGAGACAGACCUUGCAGAUCUAUCCUGCUGCAGCCUUUCUUGUAGAUCUGUUGAUGGAGAUCUUACCCGCAUCUCAAACGACCUCAGAUCAACUUCAGAUCUAAGAGGGACUUGUAUCAACCUCUUCUCAAGAGAUUUCAGGUCCUGGACCUGAUGCUUGGAUGGCUUCAAGAGAGGGAGAAGAGAGAGAAUUGACGGCUGCAAGGGGGAAGGGGCUAGCUCCUCCUUGCUUUUCUUUCCUUUUAUGGACCUGGCGGCAAGAAACCCUAGGGUUCCUUGCUCCUGGGGCAUGGAGAAUGGCUGGAGAGAGAGGGAGAAGAGAGAGAGAGACUUGGGAGAAAGAGUUUUGUAUUUUCUUUGGCUUAAUCAAACCUAUACACAGUACAUGUAUAUACAAACACAAGGUCAAGUGACCCAAACCCAAAACUCCCUUGACCAACUCUAUGGGAGAUUAGAUUAACCCAAGCCCAUGUACACCCAUGACUCGAUCUAAUCUCACCUAUCCUGGGCCCAGACCUGGCCCAUAAAGAGUUGGUUCCUUGAGGCCCACAUAACCUAGACCUCAAGAACCCGAAAGGCCCACAACCUUUCAACCUAGGGCCCAACUAGCCCUAGAGCCUCCAUGAAGUGUUGGAGCAUGAUCCUGGCUCCUCCCACAGACCUUUGGUGUAGCAGAACUGGCAAUGAAUAGAUCUGGAGACUUCUGGACAUGAUCCAAGGCCCUUGACGAAAUCAGUCUGGUUGCUGUCUUCUUCAUCAGCCUUUCGUUCCAGAUGAUGAACGCCUUUGAAACCAUCUCUAAAAAAUCCAAGAUCUGGAACCCAAUCAGAUCAGACCUGGACCGAGGUCCUCCAAUUUGUAGAUCUCAAAUCAGAGUAUUAUAGAUAGGGAAAAAGAUAGAUGGAGAUAGACCUCAUAGAUCUCUCCUGCUGCAGCCUUUUUGUAGAUCUGUUGAUGGAGAUCUCACCCGCAUCUCAAACGACCUCAGAUCAACUCCAGAUCUGAGAGAGACUUGUACCAAUCUCUUCACAAGAGAUUCCAGAUCUUGGAUCUGGUGUGUGGGUGCCUGCAAGAGAGGGAAGAGAAGAAAUGGCUGGCGGCUGCAAAGGGGGGAAGGGGCUAGCGCCUCCCUUCCUGUCCUUCCUUUUAUGGACUGGCGGCAAGAAAUCCUAGGGUUUCUUGCUCCUGGUGCAUGGAAGAUUGCUGGAGAGAGAGGGAGAAG
This 1256-nucleotide long non-coding RNA is filed under the name Elaeis guineensis (African oil palm). RNAcentral describes it as "long non-coding RNA (EGUI_LNC046239)". Lineage: Eukaryota; Viridiplantae; Streptophyta; Magnoliopsida; Arecales; Arecaceae. The record is from RNAcentral.